This is a long non-coding RNA of Cydia splendana, 418 nucleotides long. RefSeq lists it as uncharacterized. Lineage: Eukaryota; Metazoa; Arthropoda; Insecta; Lepidoptera; Tortricidae. The record is from RefSeq and is a predicted model, not a curated record. The transcript is spliced from 2 exons.
GGCGCGCGCGUGGGGCGCUACCGGCCGCUGUCGCCGCCCGAGCCGGCGCCCGCGCACCAGCCCGACACGUGAAUCUACAUACUUGUGAAGCACGCGGGUGCUCUCGCUUUCCCCUCCCCGAGGCAAAGGCUCCCCUAAUACGGUGCACUAAAGACUAAAAUCCUCUGAAGCCUUUACUCUAGUGAUGUUACGAACUAAUAGUUUGUGUGUAGAUAUUCGAGUAGGUACGUGGACGUUUUUUGUACAGAGAUUUUUAAAGACUCUUGUGAUAAUAAUUGGAGAUGCGGACUAGUGAUCAUGGUACUGUACGUUACCUCGAUGUAAAAACGGUGGUUUUUUUGAUACAUUUAAGUUUUCAAGGUCACAAUGUGUGCUCUUGUCUUUAUGACUGAAUGAAAAGUACAUUGAAUUAGCUUUU